GAUGAAAGAGGGAGGGGGGCAGAAUACAUGCAAGUCGAGCGAACGGACGAGAAGCUUGCUUCUCUGAUGUUAGCGGCGGACGGGUGAGUAACACGUGGAUAACCUACCUAUAAGACUGGGAUAACUUCGGGAAACCGUAGCUAAUACCGGAUAAUAUUUUGAACCGCAUGGUUCAAAAGUGAAAGACGGUCUUGCUGUCACUUAUAGAUGGAUCCGCGCUGCAUUAGCUAGUUGGUAAGGUAACGGCUUACCAAGGCAACGAUGCAUAGCCGACCUGAGAGGGUGGUCGGCCACACUGGAACUGAGACACGGUCCAGACUCCUACGGGAGGCAGCAGUAGGGAAUCUUCCGCAAUGGGCGAAAGCCUGACGGAGCAACGCCGCGUGAGUGAUGAAGGUCUUCGGAUCGUAAAACUCUGUUAUUAGGGAAGAACAUAUGUGUAAGUAACUGUGCACAUCUUGACGGUACCUAAUCAGAAAGCCACGGCUAACUACGUG
This 497-nucleotide ribosomal RNA is filed under the name uncultured bacterium. RNAcentral's name for it is "partial 16S ribosomal RNA". It matches the Rfam family "Bacterial small subunit ribosomal RNA", at positions 28 to 507 of the family's 1533-position model. The record is from RNAcentral.